This 457-nucleotide ribosomal RNA is filed under the name uncultured bacterium. Its description in RNAcentral is "SSU rRNA". It matches the Rfam family "Bacterial small subunit ribosomal RNA", at positions 26 to 518 of the family's 1533-position model. The record is from RNAcentral.
AGAAUCAACGCUGGCGGCGUGCCUAACACAUGCAAGUCGAACGAGAAAGGGGAGCAAUCCCUGAGUAAAGUGGCGCACGGGUGAGUAACACGUGACUAACCUACCCUUGAGUGGGGGAUAACUGAGGGAAACCUUAGCUAAUACCGCAUAAUACCCACGGGUCAAAGGAGCAAUUCGCUCGAGGAGGGGUCGCGGCCGAUUAGUUAGUUGGCGGGGUAAUGGCCCACCAAGACGAUGAUCGGUAUCCGGCCUGAGAGGGCGCACGGACACACUGGAACUGAAACACGGUCCAGACUCCUACGGGAGGCAGCAGUGGGAAUUUUGCGCAAUGGGGAAACCCUGACGCAGCAACGCCGCGUGGAGGAUGAAGUCCUUCGGGACGUAAACUCCUUUCGAUCGGGACGAUUAUGACGGUACCGGAAGAAGAAGCCCCGGCUAACUUCGUGCCAGCAGCCGC